UUGAGUUUAAUUCAACAGAAUGGCUGGCUCAGUAGCUGUCAAGGUCUCAUGCCUGGUGUUGAUGUGCAUGUUGGUGGCUUCGCCCAUGGCAGUAGAAGGGUUGUCGUGUGGUGACGUAGCAACCCAGUUGGCCCCGUGCAUCAACUACCUGAGAAGUGCUGGCCCAUUGCCUCCGGCGUGCUGCAAUGGUGUUAAGAACCUCAAAAACUCUGCCGCCACCACACAAGACCGCAGGACCGCUUGCAAGUGCUUGAUAAAUGCUUCUAAAUCCAUCUCUGGUGUGAACUUUGGUCUGGCUGCUGGCCUCCCUGGCAAAUGUGGUGUCAACAUUCCUUACAAGAUUAGCCCCUCCAC
This 354-nucleotide long non-coding RNA is filed under the name Vitis vinifera (wine grape). RNAcentral's name for it is "long non-coding RNA (VVIN_LNC002495)". The record is from RNAcentral. Lineage: Eukaryota; Viridiplantae; Streptophyta; Magnoliopsida; Vitales; Vitaceae.